ACAAAGGUUGCAAUCAAGGGAAGGCUGACUUUCUAAGUCACCAUAGAAAUUUCUACAAAUCACAUCUCCUAAUCUACUUUUACUCAGAUGUUUUACAGUAACUAAGGCUUUAUUCAUCCUUCCAAAAAAACAAGAUACUAAGAUUUCAAAACCACAGUGGUUAUUAAGCACAAAGAGUCACAGUUCUACUUCAAGCAUGGUGCUAACCAGUUGCUGGUAAUGACAGCCCUGUCUCAAACCACACCAGUCAUGAAGUUACCAACAGAAGACUUUCUCCUUCAGUACUACUUCCUACCACGAAGCUGACGGAUGUUCCAAUUUAGACUGCAACAUGAAAUUUUCCAGGGCCUUGGCCUACCCGCUUACCAUGCACUGAAAAUUAUUUUCACAAUUCAACUGUAGCUACAAGUGUCCCAUCCCCUGGAAUAUUUAUUCUCUUCAGUUAUUCCUCUGACCAUAAAGUAUUGAAAUGUAUUUAUAAAUAUAUUUCCUAAUUGCCUGAGCAAUGGGAUGGUAAGCAUUGAAGAACCGCAAGGUGUGCAGGCUUUGUUGAGAUAAAUGCCUCAGAAAAACAUGGCACUUUCCAAUUCCACCUGUUGUAACAGUUUAUUCAACACAGAAAGAAGCUGAAGCUUUUAGAGUGAAAAUAUGGCCAAAUUGAAAAGAAAAACAAUACAUAUAUAUAUAUAUAUAUACACACAACAACCAUAUUACACGACACCAAAGAGCUACGAGCCACACAGCUUUAUUAAGAGCACCCCAGUAAAAACAUGAACUCUACUGCUCAACAUGGAUGGAGCUGCAAUAGUCGAGCUGCGUGUCCCGCACUGCAAACAAACUGAAGGACGUAGCCAGCUGAGCCAAAUGAAAGGAAGCUGUAGAUACUAACAGGGAGAUAUUAGAAACACUUCUACUGUUACAUCACAGAAGUUUUAGGAACUCUAUCCACCAGAGUCAUCACACCCACAGAUCUUUGGUAACAUCUUAAUUUUUCCACCAUCAGCACCAAGACAAGCUCUAAAGGAAAGACACCAUUGUGAAUUAAGGCAAAUUAUCAGGAGAGGUUAGCAUGAGAGAACAAUUCAAAGGCACCAUCAUUUAUCACUUUGGCAGUUGGAACGAAUCUGCCAAGCAGCAGACAAGAAUCCCGUUCUCACUUUCAUCCUGGGUGUUGCAUAAGGCUAUAGCUCAGCCCUCGGACAACACAGCAACCAGCUCUUCGUCCUCCACCUCGUGCUAUGAGCCUUUUCUAGAAGAGGCUUGACACAAGAGACUUGGCCAUCAGCGAGGCCAAGCAAAAAGCUCCCCUGUCUAGUAAAAAAAAAUAAAUGAUAAAGUUA
Long non-coding RNA from Cygnus olor (mute swan), 1340 nucleotides. RefSeq lists it as uncharacterized. The transcript is spliced from 2 exons. The record is from RefSeq and is a predicted model, not a curated record. Lineage: Eukaryota; Metazoa; Chordata; Aves; Anseriformes; Anatidae.